GACAUCACUAAAAAGGAAGUUGUAUGACUUCUUUUGAAGGAGAGAGUUCAGGUGAGAAAAAAAAGAUAAGGAGAGAAAUUCUUGAACUUUGAGGACAAAGGAAAAGAGAAAAAUCACAAAUUUAAAAAAAAAUUUUAAUGUCUGUAACUACGGUCUGAGACAGAUUCCAGGCAAGCAACAGAAAUCAAUGGAUGGUUAACAAAAAUAAUUAUGACGAUGAAUAAUAUAAAGUGAAUACUUCAUGCAACCAGACAAAAUAUUAUAAUGAGAAUUACACACACCUGUGAAACCUUUCACUGUGUCAGUUAUGAACACCACAGUUUGACUCCAGAGGAAUGUGACACAAAAUCGAUUUUUAUUUUUAUCGUGAUAAAGUAUUGAAAAUAUUCCUGAUUCCUACCUCAGUAUUGCUGUGAUAAAGCUGUCAACACAACGUCAAAAACUACAAAUUAUUCGCUUUCUGUGCCAGUUUGCAUGAAAAGAAGCCACAAGGACUAGAAAACAUGGAUAUACAUGCAGUUGUUUUAAGAUUACUAAAAAUAUCAUAUCCUGUUACAUUCGACAAAAAGUUGGGGCCUAAAAAAAGUUUUCUAGUUCCUGAUUUGAAGUUUCAUUGGGCAAUCUUUCUUGAGGACUUGCACUGUCAAAGUGUUAAACAAAGACUUUCUAAAGGGAAUGGAGAAGAGAAAAUACCAAGUCUUUUCCAAAACUGGAAAAAGAAAAGGAAGGAAAUAUGAAGAGAUGAACAGAGAAGAGGCCAGAUUUAGGCCUAAGGUAAAGGAUUUAGGCGCCAGCCACUCCUAAAUUUGCAACCUGCAUUUAGAUUCUGGCUUCCCACUAUGACCAAUGGGGAGACUCUUAACUUGCUUGCAUCAAUUUCCAUAUCUGUAAAAUGGGGAUGAUACCCUCCUCCCAGGCAUGUGGUGAGAAUUAAUUAGUGCUUGUGAAAGGCUUUGAAGAUGAAACAGCCUGUGUAAGUGCUAAGUAUUAUUAUUAUGAGAGAACUGUCAAGUGCUAUAAUUAAACAAUUUUAAGUCCUACAAUAUGACCUACUCCAAAAUAAUCAGGGCUCCAGGAGGGAAACGCACAAGCCUAAACUUUCUUCUCUCUGUGGACUAACAAAAGCUGGUAGGAACCCAGCGCCUGGGAUUUCCCAGUGCAGUAAGUGGUAAAUGCACAGUCCCCUUAACCUCACCACAAACAAUGUCAUGAAGGCAUUAGGACAGGUUUGAAGUAGCUUAGUGUUCAUGGAGAUAUAGUCAUCUAAAGGACAGAGGAAGAAAAGAAGACUCCAGACAUUUUCAACUACAUCAGACACACACACAGGAAAAAUAAGCUUGUCAGAAUGCUGUUUCCACUGCCAUAAGGAAGGGGAAAGGGUGUGUUCAAAUGAAGCCCUCCAUAACCUUUGCAUGCUGGUGACUUUGAGCACUUACUGCCCUCCACCUCCUGGCUGAGGCUUUCAUCCAUCUUCUUUCUUUCAAUUUAGAAAUGAUGUGCUUUCAGAGGAACCCUUAACAUUCCUUUGUGAUUUUUCUUCUGAAAGAACAACUGGUUAAUUCGUGUAAAUGCCCAUCUGUUCAUUUACAUGAGCAAAAAAGAGAAAGAUCUUACCAAUGAGGAAUGUUUAAAAACUUGACACUAACUUUUAGCAAAUGAGAAGAGAAUAUCAGCCCUAUUAUUUUCCUCCUAGUAUUUACUUAUAGGAACUUGCUCAAAACAAAAUCUACCCGUUUGUGCACGGGAAGAUGGUCAAUUCGUAUAAACCACAACCCAAACGACAUCUCAAAAUGAGAAGGAAUCUAUCUUAAUUUAGUGUGGAUUUCAAUAGUAGUCUUAUCAGACUAAAAAUAAUUCAUCUCUCUUACAAAGUCCUUCGCAUAACCUAAGGGACUUUUUAAGUAGAGUUAUUUUGAAAUCACUAUGUUCUAGAAUUCAUGUUUGUUUAAUGUCGUAAUGCCCGUAUGUAUUAUAAUUAAGUAUGAAAUGUGAAAGUCCUGAAUAGGACAGAAUUCCACAUUGUUACUGAGAGAUAAUUCAUCAACACAAAACGAACAAAAUAAAAUCUAAACUCAGAGCUUAAUUCUCUUUGGAAUGCUGGGGGGGGGGGGAAUAAAGGAAGGUGCAGAUCACUAGGAGAAUGUUUUCAAAUCAAUGGAGAUGAAUGCUGGUGGCUAUAACUAGAAGACAGUAGUGGAACGCUCACAGGAAACAGCUUACCAGAGCUUGAACGUGGGUCUCAUCUCCUCACAAAUGCCUAUUUGACAGAGGCAGCCAUUUACUUACUUUAGGCCUCAAUUUUUUCUUCAGAAAGGCUAGGAAUGUGGGCUUCUAAAUUACAGGAGCAUUGCGAAGAUUUCAUAGCAUAUAGAACUGUGUUCCUUCCUGGCCAGGAAGAACGGCAUGGUCUGUAAGUCAGGAAUGGAGGCAACGGUUGGGCCUGCCUCCCUGGCAUCUGUGCAGAUCCCGUCUGAAAUGAUAGCCAACACUUCGGGGUGGCAAGAACAGCUUCUAAUUAAUCCUCAACAGGUUACAUUGUAUUGAUUUGCUCCACAAAAUUACUAGGUAUGCAGAAAGCUAUGAGGGUACAUUUAGUGGUUAAUCAGACUCACACAAAGUUCUUUAGAGCAAAAUAUGAACCAAAGCACAAGACUUUAUUUGAUAAGGAGAAACUAAAGUCCACUAAGGCUUUCUGCAUUGGUGACAGCUAAACCCAUCCAUCAUUUAAUUAAUUUAACGACUACGUUCUCCAGUGCAACUGGUAUUGGAUUCUGGCUUAUGCUCUUAUUAUUAUUAUUAUUACUAUUAUUAUUAUUAUUAAUUAUUAUUAUUAACCUUUUUGGUUUUUGGAGACAGAGGUCAUGUAACCCAGCUGUCCUAUAAUAAUUUUCUAUUUACUUGAUGCUGGUCCUGAACUCCUAUUUCUCCUCCUUUUACUUCCCAAGUGCUAGGAUUAUAACAAACCCUAGGUUGAAACUCACUAUUUAUGAAAUAUCAUGGUACACGGUCUUCAGAUUUCAUAAGUAAUUAGACCUAAAAGGAAAAGAGGAAUGUGGACAGGAAGGACGAAGAAAACUACAAGAAAUCACGUUGGGCCACUUGAACUUGAAGAUGACUGACUAGACAGAGUAGAGUAGAGUCUUAUUUAAACACCUUGAUUCUCAGUGUCUUUCAAACUAUCCUCUAUAUCAGCAUGGCUAUCGUUUGUGUCCCUUACAUUAGUAUUUUAAAUAGAUUGGCUCACGCUCGUUACUAGAAGGAUCCUUCUUGCUCUUUUGCUUUCUUUUCUUGGGAUAGGAGUUAUCACACGAUAAACAUGGCGAUGACCAAAAACAUUGAAAUAAAUAACUGUAGCACGCCCUGAUCUAUGGCUCCAUGGUGUUUCCUUCUAUUGCUGCUAAAGUGAUCACCUGAGUGACUGUGCCUCAUAAACUAUGCUGCUCUUCCCUCUGUGAUGCAGCAUAUUACGUUGGAUGGUCAGAGUUUAAUAAUUGCUAUGUUUUUAGAUAUUUGUUUAAAUAGUACAAUCCUAUCUUCGGUGGAAUGGAACAUUGGAUGUUAUUUUCUCUUUUAUUUAUCCAUCUUAUAAUAAUAAACAUAAAAGUAACUCUGAAUGCUUACUGAUAGCAAAUAUGUGUGUGUGUGUGUGUGUGUGUGUGUGUGUGUGUGUAACUAUUUGAAACUAAAAUAAAAAUAAUCAGACAGGACCAUAAUAGCUACUGUAGUAUAUAUAAUGUUUCCCUUCAUUUAAAGAAAUAAGUACAUUAUCUAUAAAUAUUUACAUAAUGGAAAGUACACAAGAUUUAUGUUCUAAAUUGUGUUCAGUUAUUAUUCUUUAUAUUGAAGAGCAAAUGGGUUUUACAAAUUCCUAUUUGAUAUUUCAAAACUGAAAGGUAAUAUAUAUUCAAUAAAGAUGUAUCAUAGACACAAAAGACAAACAAACACAGACACACACACACAGAGAGAGAGAGAGAGACAGAGACGGAGACAGAGACAGAGACAGAGACAGAGGGUUCAGUUUUUAAGUGAAUAUUUCCAGAAAAAAAUGCUUUUUAAAAAUAUUCUCAAAUUAUGUAUGGCUACAAGCUUCCAAUAUGAGGAGGCACCUGUCAAUGUGGGAAAAUAUCAGUUUGCAGAGCCAUUUGUUAUACUUAUCCCAAUAAUUAAUCUCUUCCUUUCCUUAAAUUCCCUUACAUUUAUGCACAGAGCAGAAGCUCAGUCUCCAUCCUAGUUGGCUAAAACUAGGCCCAUACUCAUAAGCAUAGGCAAAGAGAAGUUACCAAAUCAUUCUCAGCAGGCACCCAACUCUUGUCUUCUUUUUGUUUACAAAGCCAAGUUCAAAUGCUUAAACAAUAAAACUGACAUUACACUUACUGGUCAACUGUAUUUAAAGUUUAUCACUGACAGUAAUUUCCCAGAAAUUUGUUCUUAAUCUAGCCUCCAAAUUACGGGAAGUUUACUUAAUUUUAUUUUUUAAUUAUAUUAAAUCAUUAAAAAGUCCCAUCAAACAGCAAGCCCUUAAGAGAUGCUUUUAUUAUCUAUAAUUUACUAAACCAACUUUCUAUGCAUCACUUUUAUUUUUAAUCAGAAGGAAAGAGAAAUAUUCUGAUUCUCUCUCUCUCUCUCUCUCUCUCUCUCUCUCUCUCUCUCUCUCUCUGUGUGUGUGUGUGUGUGUGUGUGUGUGUGUCUUUCUUUUCUCUGAGCUUUACCUAGGCAACAAGGAAUAAAUAGCUCACGGAUUAUUCUAUAAAGUGAUCAGUGAGUGAGUUUCUGUUGCCAGUUCUGGAUCUACACAUUGUUUGGUAGUCUGGUCAAUACGCGUACCACGUAUAGUUAAAUGUUCAGAAAUGCAGCAAUCCCCCUUGGGUAAUGAGGACUUGGAAAACAUUUGGACUUCUUUCUGGGGCCUCUGUCUGCUUUCUCUGUCACACCGUCCAUGAAGAGUGUCUCUACCACCCUUCAGCCUUACUCAGUCUCCAGCUUUUCUCUGUCUAGGAAGGCCUCACAGCAGAAAGGUAGCUGCCGGCAAGCCAGCUUUUCUAUGCACCAUUUGCUGAGUUCUCCUGCUCUAUCCUCUUGUCUGAAUGGAAUACCUAAUGCUUUACUGGAGAACUAAACAAUGACUAACAUGAACAUUGGAGAUAAAAGAACUUGCAUUAAUGCUAAGGAUCAUCUUUAAAAGAAACUUCUUAACAAAACAAUCCUCACCAAAAUAUGUCAGUACUCAAGAGUGGCCAUUUUAUACAUAAACGAUUGGUUUGGAGGCCUAAGGAUAUUGGAGAUUUUAGGUUUUAGAUUUGAGAUUUCCAAAGCAAGCAAGAUACAAAAGAAGAAAGCUGUCUAGACAAAUCACCUUGAAAUCCUCAACUCCAAUAAGAAAUUACUUCUAGCUGACAUAUUACUCACCCUUAGGUCUACCUAUAAUUAAUGUUUCAUGUAUUGGUAAAUAAGACUACAUUUAAAUCUGUGAAAGAAUUAGUAAGAAAUGAAAUUGAUUCCCAGUAGAGUCUGCCAUGUCUGAUUCAGAAUGCCAGUCGUAAUCAUGCAAGCUUCUGAUUGCUAACAAUUAAAAUCCUGUUCCCACCCCCUUUUUUCUCCUACUAAAUUAAAGUCUUUGUAAAAAAAAUUGUAAAAUUUACCCUGUCAUAUUAGUGACAAGUGGCACUCAGCUGGUAAAGUAGUAUAUUAAUACUGAUUACUCUGAUUAAUAGUACUGUAAAAAUUGGUUCAAUGGCUCUUUAAAAAAAUUUUUAGGAGAACUGAUGAGAGACAUUCUGAGUAGAAUAUAUAAUUGGGUCAUCACAGUCUAUCACAAAGAAAAAUAUUAGAAAUGUAUGAAUUAAUGUGAGCUUUUCUAGUUUGAAUCAAUAAGCUUAUUUCAAAUAGAAGAGAAUGUCAAAUGAAGUAUCUACCUUCCUUAUAUUAAGAGAAACCUUUAAGAAAAUAAAGCUCACAGCUUUUUAAAAAAAAACCAACCCUAUUAAAUUCAAGUGCUGUCAAUAAUCAUGCAAAUGAAUAUAGAUUUAGCAUUUAUAACUGUCAGAUGAGCCAAUAUUGAUUGUGGUUUGGAUAUAACUGUUCUCACAGAAACAUAGCAUAUUACAGAAUAAAAUCAAUACCGCAUACUGGUCUGAUAAGAGUGGGGAGGGCUUCUAUACAUAACAGUUUGCUUAUCAACUCAGCAGUAUUAAUAAAGCAUUGAUUCUUCUAGACCCACAUUUCGCAGUUAAGGAUCUCUCCUUUUGGACUUUUCUCACUAGUUCUCACUAAUAAAUACAGAUAUAGAAAGACCUACUCAAGUAGACUUUUCUGCCAAAGUACCUUAUUUAAAAACAUCUCUCAGAGAACCCACUCAAGCAUAAGAAAGAUUAAGGUAGACUGGAGUACUGAUGUAAUGUAAGGAACCCACCUGCUUAGGACAGUGUUUUCCACGGCAUGACUAUGUUGCAGCAGGAUGUGGUAAACACCCCUGUCUCCAUGGAUACACAUGGAUAGAUUACUGAAGAAAACUGACAAUUAGUAUAUUUGUAAUAAUGGAGAAAAACGGUAAGGAGGUAGCUUCGGGCUUGGAAACAGAAACUUCUAAAGCUUAACUCAGAAACAGGUAGAUUCUCAAGGAGGCACAAGGCUUUCAGGAAAGCAUCAAACAUCUCUGGAAUGCAGCAUCCUUAUCUGCAGAAUGGAGUUAACGAUAAUUGAUCUCCAAUGCUGAAGGACAUUAUGAAUACUGAAGAUAAUUUAUGUAAAGUACCACUCUGUUAACUAUAAACUUUCUGUUGUUAUAAACUCAGGUUGUCCAAUCUAGAAGCAGUUGCUCGCAAAAUGUUGACCUCUCAAGUUCUGGAAAUGUUCUACCAAGCCAGCAAAGGAGCUAUCUGUUAAAGAACAUCCAGUAAGGAAUUCUUGGCAUAGACUAGGGGGUUGUUCUAUUUGACUUCUAAAGCUGUUAUUAUCUUUGGAAAUAUAUAACUAUCCCAGAAGAUCUCUUCUGCUCCCUGAUUAAGUUUAACCAACAUUUACUGAGCUCCAACCACCAGACAUGCAAACAUUAACAAGAAUCAAUCCACGUCCUUAAGGGACUCGGCAUAAAUGGAAGAUACAGAAACAUUCACAAGUUCAAAUCAGCAUGGCACGUCUGUGAUAUAAGUUGUAGAAGUCUCACAUGUGGGAGGGCUUUCCUUAUGGACAAAAUCUCAGAGAGAAUCACAUCAGUAGGAUCAACAAAGGAACAAAAUGUUCUUGUUGGGUAUUAUAUAACAAACUAAGGACUCCAACAGAACGUGGGGCUUUGGAAAAGACAUAUACAUUGUCCAGCUGCAAGGCCCAGGACAAAGUGUAGUGCUGGAAACAAAAUGAGUGCAUCAUCACUACAAAAUACCUCUUAGAAUAAUAGAUAACAGCAAAAUCCAACAAAUUGACUGAAUUUUACAAAACUAAAGAAUAACAAACUAAAGAAAGCAUUUCAGGACAUUAUGAUCAUGUUUGCACAGCAUUCAGUGCUAAAAACAAUUGUUCUCCACCCAGAGUUCUUCUCAGGUUAUAAAUUCUCACUCUUCUAGAUGUCUCUAUAGCCUAUGCUUUUGUCCUCUAUUCAGUUUAGCUCACUUAAAUAUCCAUUUUUAAAAUCCUAUAUUUGCACAGUAAAUGUGGCAAACACUUUUGCAGCCAACACUGUAUACCUCAUGUAUUUUAUGUAUAGCCAACUGAGAAUCCAAAGGAGAAGUGCAUUCAGGUACAAAGUUUCCAGCAAAUGAAUGAAAUGGUUUCCAGUUUAAUUUUUUUCAAAGGACUAUUCUCUGAAAGGAAUUCCCUUACAAAUAUCGUUGUGCAGAAUAUUAUUACAUAGGGGGGAAGUACAAAAGUAAAAGGUGAUUUGUGAUCUGUGUGGGGCAAGGACAUUUACAAUACUCAGUGUGCCCCUUUCACAACUAGACUGCUAACACAGCAGAAAGGGCAGCCACUCGAUCUGCUCACCUCCCAGGCAUGCCUGCCUUUUGCAGGUGCGCCUCAAGGACUUCUCUCCCUUAUUCUUUGAAUCAUCUUGCAGACACUAAUGAGCAUCGCUUUUCAGCUUUAAUUAUUGGCCCCUGACAAGUCAACAUAAUAGGAAUCAGCCUAACCAAGCAUACUCCCCAGCGACUUGUUCAAUUACUCAGGUUGUGAUUCUCCAGGAAGGCUGAGCGGCUCCUAAUUUAACACUGUCAAAAAAAUAAACACGGAGAUCAUUUACAGUUUAUCUUUUGACCUUUAUGUCACCAAAUCUAACAAGAUAUCUUUUUAUAUAUAUUUUUUCUCCCCCUGAAUAGAAUCAGUGAGAUAAAUAUGGUGUGAGCCUGUUCCAAAGAAAAUUAAAGUUUCUGCCUGAGUCACACAGAAUGAAUGUGGUUGCAUAAUGCACUUCGCGUAAUCUAAAAGAUGAGAUGUGUUGGGGGAGUCUCUUUAUUUUGAUCUACUAUCUGGCCAUAACAUUUUAUUAGCACAUGUCAAAGGGAGACAGUCGCCCCACCACUUACAUAUAUAAACAGUUAUCAUGAAUGUAAAAUUAAAUUCACAUGAAGGGAAGAAUUUUUAUUCUCUUAUUUAUUAAUUUUGCAGUGCUUGGGAUGGAACCCAGGUCUAGGGCUUGCUAAUUUGCUGUGUCCUAUCUCUGCCCCUAAAGAAAAGACAUUAAAGCAUAAUUUCAACAAUUAUUUUGAAGUUUUUUAUGGCAAAUCAUAAGAAAUGUAAUAAAUAUUAUGAAAAUUGAAUAAUGCACAUUUAUAAUAAUUAUGAAUAGACCAUAAUAAAUCAACAUUUUGAACUUAGUAGUACAGGACAGAAAUUUUCUGAAUUAGUUUAGAUGAUGUAACAUCAACUGUAGCAUAUUUAAGCUAUGUCAUUAACAUUCUUUUACAAUUCUUAUAAUAAUAUGGUUGUUUUAAUAAAUUAUUCUUUUUUACAUGCAUACAAUUUAAAUCUUUCCUUUGUAGGAUUAAAUGAAAAUAAGUCCUUUGCCAGGACAUUUUCCCCCCUCAAAAAAAUGCUUACCUUCAAACUUUAAUCCUGGAAAUCCAGAGUAUAAGAUUCAUUCAAAAAAUGAUUAAUUAAAUUUGACCUGGUACAAUGGCUUCAGAACACUUAUUCUCAGAAUACUGGAGUAUAGAAAUCACUACCUAGUAGGGAAAGAAGUCACCCUGGAGACUAGACUGGAUCAUCAAAAUUUGUCACAUCAGCUACUAGCAAAAUCAAAACAAGUGAUUUAAUAGUGAUGUAGUACUUGUAACUUCAUAUGAAUAUCUGCAUAAAAUAUAUUUCUGUAAAUACAUUACAUAUGAUUAUUCACUAGAUUCUAAAAUCGUGUCAUCGUUAAUGCAAAAGCAAAGAAGUGAAGUCUGUAAAACUAAGGCAGCAUUCCUCAUCACUGACGUACAGUAUGAGGAGGGAUUUUUCUUGUUUUCAGAGCUCCAAGGAUGCCCAAAGGGGAGAACAAAGUCACAAACUAACAAAGAAAGCAGCUUCUCACUCCUGGUUGUCUGGCUUUCCAGCCCUAUUAAAGUCUUAACAUAAACUUGAGAACCUAAAAUGUACAAAAAUACUUCUACAAUCCCCCAUCCCCAACCCACUCAAGAGGCAAUCCGUAUACGAGAUCCAUUCUCACUCUCAAAACCCCAGAAAGCGAGGCACAGGGAAAAAAUUGGUUUAGGGUGACAAAAUUGAGCGUGUUUCCAUUUUUAAAUUUUCAACUGAAAUUUCCAUAGUUAAUAGUUUUAAAAAAAUGUCCAAAAUAAUUCACAUUCUGGCCAGAGAAAACUGCAGCAUGAUCUUGAAUACAAGCUUUUCAACAACUCAAAAAAGCACAGCUCUCAAAGUUUGGAUAAAUGGGAGACUUAUCAAUGGAAUGAGUAAUAGACUGAAAUACAUUUCAGUAUGGAGGCCAAGAAAGAGGACAUAACUUUUUAAAGUGAUUAGAGUAGAAGGCAAGUCAAUGGGGUGCUGAGAUAAGGGGCGACUGCUCCAGAAGGCACCGGUUCAGAGAGAAGGGCCUUUGCGAAGCAUGCCAGAAGAAGGAGAGAGACAGGAUGCCCAGGGGUAGAUGAGGGGAAGGACAAAGGGAGGAACAAAGAGACCAGACCAGACCAUGAAUGAAGCCGAGCAAAGGAGUAAAAACAGUGAUCUGCCUCAAGCACCCAGGGACUCUCCUUCCUCCUGUGGUUACAGAUCUGUUCCUAUCUCUUCCUCUGGUACCUGUGGGACUCUCACUCCCCAAACAUCCAAACCCAGGAAGCCACUAACAAGAUGUACCCGGCUCAUAAUUCAGUUUUCAAAGGUAAGGCUUGUCUGCACAGAUCACCCUCGACUACGGUCGAGUUUUAAAGGCACUUUUGUCUUACUCUCCUCUAAGAUUAGAAUUGUCACUUUCAGGAAAACACCAGGUAGGAUUUCAUUAUACUUUGUGUUUGCCAAAUCCUGGAGCAGACUGGGCAAAUAGAACAGAUUAUUUCAACAUUUGUAAUUUCCCUCUUCAACGUGGAGGUCCGAGAGAGAGAGAGAGAGAGAGAGAGAGGGGGGGGGGGGGCGGAAAGAGAGAGAGAAAGAAAAGAGAGAGAGAAACCAGUCAUUCGUAAGAUUCCCAACAUGUUAUCAAGCACCAGUGACCUUUCCCAAGGAUUUUUAACAAUCGGAGUUGUUUGGCAAGGCCUUCUUUUUCCCUCCAGGCUGAUCAAUUCCCUCCAGACAGGAGCAUGGGAAGCAGAAGGAGAUAAGGGUAGGACAAGGACAUCUGCAUAUGGCUGGUUGAGCGGAGCAAGGACCAGUCUAUUUCCUCUCUAUACACAGACAGCUCGUGGUGUGGAGAUGAUGCUAAGCUAGUCACAGAACUUUACAGAAAAGUUCAGAUUUCAAUGUAACCUAACAGCCAUAAUGACCCUACUCAAAUGUGAGAAAUUAUUAACCAACUGUCAAAAUAUGGGGAAACAAUACCAAAGCCUAUUGCUUCAAAGCAAUUAAUUCACCCGCAGUCUCAAGUUUCGCUCUUUUUGUAAUUGAGGCAUUUUCAAGGUUAUAGAAUAAUUAAAAUACCUCUUCAUUACAGAGAAAGCUGAUGGAAUCUACUAAAUUGUGAUGCUUGCUUUGGAAACAUUUCAAAUAAGCAGAGAGGUUACUAACUUGUUUACUAGAACAUAUAUUCAAGUUGCUAUUGUUAGCUGUACAGUGCCUCUGUAUUCAGUCCAGUGGAACGUAGUUCUAAUAUACUUCAAAUUGUAUCCUCUUAAUACACCAAACCUGCGCUCAUAUCUAUUGGGCUGGGUGAACAAGCUCCAAUCCUUAGGCACUUUGUUCACUGCCUGCCUCACUGAACAGGGUGCAGGUUUUGUAAGAUUAGAAAAACAACCUCCUGAAACAUGACCAUAAUAUUUGCGAGAGGAGUCUCUUCCACUCCAAUAGGAAUUUAGCAAAUUAAGCUGGGAAAUCAUUUAUGGUUCAGAAGUCCAUUAUUUCUAGUGAGUGCUAUCUUCUACUUUCUGUGAAACCAAGUAUGCCUACAUGCCAAACGUCCAAGCUGCCUAUUCAACCUGACUCUAUAUUUGUUUUUGAAAAUCUGUAUGCUGGCCCAUGAAGAGAAUCAGUUCAGUGGUGGAGUUUAUUCAUUACUUAAAGGACUGCUUCAGUCCUCUUGUGUCUCACAUUCAAGAGGAGAAAUCAUGACCAUCUCAAGCGUUCUCUUCUUCCUGUAAAGUGUAAAAGCCUGACCUAAAUCCAAGACGAGCAAGAUGAUCUGUAAAGGUCAAAUUCCACCACCAUUCUGAAUCCGAGAGUCAGAGCACAGUGACUAUUGUCAGUCUUACAUCUUAGACUUCCGGAAGAAAGAAAGACGUUCUGUUAAGAUGUCUCUGGUGUUAAGACGGCAGAAAGCAGUGCUACUUCUAGCAGGAAUGACUGUACAACUUAACUUUAUAUUUAUUUAAAACUAUGAAACCUUAUAAAUGAGACCUAUAGAUUCCUAAUUAGGAAGCCAAUACCUUCACUCAGUUCCUUCCUAUUUACCUUGAAUUAUUUCCCUAGCUACUCUGUUAGAAUACAGUAUAUGGUCAGAAAUAAAUUAGAGUGGCUUGGCUUGAUGCAGUAUUCACAACUAUAACGUCCAUUUUGUAAAAGAAAAGAAGGGUCCUUACCUAUCUUCAGCAAAAGUUUUCAAACACCCAGUGAUUAUAACGAGAAUACAAAACACGUGAGAACAAGCAGAAGGUGCUAUGUAAGCCUGGCUAUUCCAACCUUGUCUACAGAGAGAGACAAUGAGGAUUGAGUCAGAGUCUCACAUGCACACACACCCUGCUACUUGUCCACAGACGCCAAUGCUUGAAUUUGACAAACGGAAUCAUGUUCCUCAUUCUUCUCUGGAUCACAUAGUAUUUUGCUGAUAAGUCCAAAAAAGUCAGUCAUUUAUACCAUAGAGUUCACACCGUGGAUUCAAUAUAGUCUCCAAUAAUUUGGCCUGUACUUAAUUUUAUUUUGUUUAUGUUUUUGUCUUUGUUUUGUUUGGCUACAUCAUGGUAUGUUGUAUAGUCAGAAUCAGCAAUGUUUCAUGAUAUUGUUAGGGUCAUUGAGUGAUCUGAUAUCACAGAGAAUAACACCAUGGUAUAUUUAUGCGUAACAGAAUGCAUUAUAAAAUCUUACAAAGAGAUUCUUGCCACUUAUGUGAUCCAGGAUAUUAAUGUAAAUAAACAUGUUAUAUUUAUUAUCAGCUGUGGGUGAUAUCAGAAUACGAGUAUGUUUCCCAGAGUCAUCUGAAAUAUUCAUAAAAAAUUGAUACUAUACUAAUUACUGGUCUUCUAAUUUAAGCUUUUGGUAUUUGUUUACUACAUAUUUUUAAUAAUUCAUUAUAAUUUAGAUAACAUUGAAUUUAAAAAGUGUCAGUUUGAGGGUUAUAGAAAAGGAACUAAGUAAAAGUGAGUUCAUUCUAAUUUAUUCUUGGAUUGUCUGUACAACAAAUAUUUCAUGUUUAUUAGCCUGAAAGCUUAGGUAGAAAAAAAAUGUUUUACCUACCUAAGAACAGGGAUAUUUCUGUUUGGGUCACUAUUGAAUAACCAAUAUAGGAUAAGGCUUUACUCUAAUUAGACACUAUUAUGAGUUUAAUAAUUAAGUGAGUGACUCUAGGCUCAAUGCAUUUGAGGUCAUUAUAAUUACUCCAUUAUUGAGUUUAUACAAGAGAUAAACAUUGAACAAAAUUUUCAAGCAUUUUUAAACUCAUAUAAAAUAUUUUUAUAACAUUUUAACCUCCCUAUCUUUAUAUUCUUAGUAAGAAACCAAAUUGUUACAUUGUUGGUUGCAAAAGUAGGCCAUGAAUGGGUACACUGUCUUUUAAUCUUUUAAAUAGUUGCUUUGGGUAGAUUGUAUACUUUUAUAUAGGUACCCUGUAUGUUAAUUGUAGAAACAUUAAGCAUUUUGCAUGGACUGCUUUGGAAAGCAUCAGUGGAAACAGAGGUACACAGACCAGAAGCAUUCAGUGACCUAUACUUCAAGAACAAUGAACAAUGACCCAGGUCAACUGCGUCCACCUUAAUGCCAGUCAUCUCCGGUUGUUUUAUUUUUAACUAGAACAAAACAGCCAGCAUUAACUCUCAACUCAUUUGUGAGAGGGAAAAAAGGGAUAAGGGUAACCCUUCAAGAAUCUAAAAACUCAACUUCUACAAAUCAUAAAAUAGUUCAGAAAAAGCAAUAUUCUAUAAUCAGCCAUCAAUAGCAGGCUCUCCCAGAAAAAGAUCCGGGAAGAAAUUUUUUUAUUUAGAGUCUUUGAGACAUUAAUUGGGCACAGAAACCAUUGCCGAUGAAUGCCUGACGUUAGGAAAGAAAAGAAACAAAUUCUGUUUCCAUAAAAUCUAAACAACCAUGUGGCCAAGGUGUAAAGGACUUGUUUAAACACAUAGGCUACUUUGUGCCUUGAAUUAUUUUGAACAUUCCAGGGAACUGUUGUUGCAUCAAUUUUAGAGAUGUCGCAAAUAUAAAGGCACGUGUAUUGCGAAACACUCAGAGGAAACUCUGAUAAGCACUAGUGGUAAAAGCAUUGGUGUACUGAUUAUAUACUGCCUGUCAGGUGCAGAGGACUAUCUCUAUCAACUCUGAUAGAGGCACACUCAAAACCAUAAGGCACAAAGGUCUGAAGCAGUCAUACAUGUCUAUUUAUGUGUUUAAAUGACAUGCUAACAAAACCUAAACAUAUCUGGGAAGAGGCACUCUUAAUUGAAACUAUCCCUCCAUAAGACUAGCGUCACGAAGUCAGUGGUGCAUUUUCUUCAACAGUGAUUGAUACAGAUGGCCCCUGAUGUCUACGACUGUGCUAACUACGGUUAGGUGGUUAGGGGGUCCUGGGUGUUAUAAGAGAGCAGGCUGAUCAAGGAACAAACAUUCCUCCAUGGCUUCUCUUUUCCUGUCUCUGGGUUCCUACUUUGAGUUCCUGCCCUGACAUCCCUUACUGAUAGACUAUUUCCUAGAAGAUUAAGAUGAAAUAAAAGUGUUCAUCCAAAAGUAAAUGAAUAGAUAAUUAAUUAAUUAGUUACUUAAUUAAUUAAUUAAAAAUGCUACUUAGCAGCCUUCAUAGGAAGGAAACAUAUGAAUGUCUAAUUCCUAUGUCAAUUGUUGAAAUAACAAUGUCCAACAACUUAGCAAAAAAUGUCCUCCGCCAGUCAGUGACACCAUGUGACCUCAGCUUAAAUGCAGCAAUUGGUAUCAGGAAGUCAGGAAUGCUAACAACACGUCGGACCAUUUUACUGCUCACAUUCCCUAUGUUACCUAUUUACUGCAACUCCAAGAACAAAUUCGCCAGCUUUAUGAUCACAGAGAUGAAGGUAGCAUUGGCGUUAACCAUAGACUACAGCUAUGCUUGGUUUGUACAAACACCGCUCCUUCUAGCUCAGUGUUUCACCACAGUUCAUAAAUGAAAGUAGUCCUGCAGUAUAAAUGAGGCAUGUGUGAGUAGUAUGCCCAGUUCUGAAACGUUAUAUCUUACUUUUCCUAUUAGCAAAUAUUAACUUAAUUUCUGGUCACCCAAGUGCAUGGCUUAUCUUCCUCAACAAACUCCAAAUACUAGAAGAAGACCGGGUUGAACCUUGGCCAUUGGUGCAAACAGUCUGUGCUUUCCACAUACAUGUGGUGGGCACCAGGCACGCCUACAGGGAAAUUUCAUUGUACUGCUCAGACUUAUAAAGCCAUAUUCUUUAAAAUCAGUUAUAGCAGAAGAAGGCUGGUAUCUUGAUCUCCUUUUCCUUAAUACUAUUUUUCCCUGCUAAAUGAUUCCAAACUUUACUAUCAACAAAAGGUGCAACGUUGGAAUAUGUCAAAUCAACACUUAAGAAAGUACCCAACACUGUGGGAUAAUCCAAAGAGAAUGUUCCCUUCGGUGGCCUUUGGAUUACAUUUGAUUAGGUGGAACUUGGGUAUGUGGAUAAAGGGUCAAGUACACACUCCUAGAACAAGCAGAAGAAAGAAAAUAUAAUUAAAUGUAUUAACUAGGUGGUCAUCCAUAAUAGUACAACACUAAAAUAAACUACAAUGUUAAAAAAUAUUUUUCUUUUUUUAUUGAAAAUAUAUUUCAGGGCUGGAGAGAUGGCUCAGUGGUUAAGAGCACUAACUGCUCUUCCGGAGGUUAAUUCCUGAGAUCAAUUCCCAGCAACCACAUGGUGGCUCACAACCAUCUGUAAUGGGAUCUGACACCCUCUUCUGGUGUGUCUGAAGACAGCUACAGUGUAGUUAUAUAUGUAAAGUAAAUAAAUAUUAAAAAAAAGAAAAUAUAUUUUUCCCAUACAAUGCUCACUAAUCACAGUUUCCCAUUAUUCUGCUAUACUCAGAGACUGGUAUCUUGUCCAGUUAUCAGAGAGGUUUCCUCUGGCAGCAGAUGGGAACACAGGCAAAGAUCUACAACUGACAUUAGGCAAUGACAGAGUCUAAAUUAAAGAGUCUCCAUUGGGUCCCUCCUUGGAGCUUAGGGAACCCUGGGGAAGUAGAGGGGAUAUAGGAGUCAGAAGGAAAAUACCUUUUUAAAAAGGGAACAUUUUCGGGUUGGGGAUUUAGCUCAGUCAUAGAGCGCUUGCCUAGUAUGCGCAAGGCCCUGGGUUCGGUCCCCAGCUCCGGGGGGCGGGGGAGACGGAACAUUUUCAAUUGCUUGUACAACCAAACUAACAGCUACCCCCUUAAACCACAGCAGUGAAGGAAAGCCAAGCAAUUGUUUACUGACAGGUCUUGCCCAACAUAACCCUACAGGUUUAAAAACUUAGGUACAAAGACUUAACUAUCUGUGUUGCUGUAUAACUGCCCCAAGAGUGAGAAGCAGUGAUAAUAUGGCGGCGAGCCUGAAAUAGUGCAAACAGGCCCAGCAAAAGACUGCAGUACCUUAAAGUCUCUCAGAUGGCAGGCCUGACAAGCCACCAUGACCUUUUAAAUAGAUCCAGUGGGGUAAAGUGAUGCUACUCGAGUUGGGGCAAUUAAAAGUACUCGGGUGAAGUAGGAAGAUGGGGUGCUACAUGUUAAACUCUCAAAUGUUUAUACAUUUAAAAAUCUGAUUAUUGAAUGGAUUAAGAAAAUACUAUUGUAUAUAUUCCCUGGAUUUUUAAAUACUGUUAAAAUUUUCAUAUUAAAAAAUACUUGCUAGUUUGGUACUUGAUACAAAUUUGUAAUUAUAGUUGUCAUGAUUAAUUCUCCUUCUCCAAACUGAAUAGUAAUUCAAGUCUAUACAGUGGUUAGUGUACCUGCUGGGGAUGGGGGAGUGGAUUAAAAAAGAAAAAAGCUAACCAGUGUUGAGCUGUAUUAUAUUUAAAAGGACAAGAGAACUUUUUUUGUCACCUUAGGUACAACUUGGUUAAAACAAUGUUCUGGGAAAUUAAUAUGUACAUCAUUUGGAAUGUUCUCCAAUUUUCAAGUAGAAGGUACUGUACUAAUAUAAAAAUACUUGUUCUAGGUCCAAACAAUUAAUAUACUUGCUAAAUUUAAGCAGGGGCAAUCGCUAUAUCCAAGUAUGGGGAUACGCAAGUUUCCUACUUUCUAGUAUAAUGUAGACAUAAGCUGUGAAGGAAAGUAUAUGGUUUCUAUGAGUGCCCAUAUACACCCACACAUACAUAUAUGGAUAUAUGUGCCUGUCUAUGUAUAUGUGUGGCGUGGGCAGCUAUAUGGUUUUUCUCCAUUAGUUUCAUUGCAUUGACUAGGAUUUGCAUGAAAGGCUGCUGUUCCCUAAGGCAAAUGCAGUGACUAAGUGGAUUAAAUGCAAAGCGACCAGCCUCAACAGGCACAAGACAAACAUUGAAUCAAAAACAAAAAAUAAAUAAAUUAAAUUUGUUAACUAUUGAUUUAUCCAGUGAUAACCGAGUAAUUUCUAAUAAACAGACAAAAAUCAAAGCAAUAUGCCCUCCAAAUAGUCAUCAUUAAAAAAAAGAGGAAAAGAGCCUCCAAGAGCCCUUUGCAGGUUCCAGGUGAGGGUGUGCUCCGGAAAGAGGGAAAAAAAAUCUCCCUCACUUCUCUGUUGGCUGCACUUUCUUAUUCACCACUCUGAGCAAAGCAAUUUGAUCCUGGUUUCUGUAGCCAACCUGGUUCAGCAGGAUUUCUCACACACCCUGAACAAAAGGCUAUUCCCCCUUACAAAGUACUUAGCUCAGAUAUUUGUCAAGAUUGAAUUGAUUGCAGCCAGAGGACUGAGCUCAAACCAUGAUGUGAAUGUCUCUUCCCCUGGUCACUAAAUCCCUACUUUGGUUAGGAAGAGGAGGGCUGGGGAGGUGAAAACUUCAUAAUGUAUCAUUUCCUCUUAUGAAUAUGUAACAGUUAAAUGAGGGGAAAUAGCUCACAGAAACUUAAGGAAAGUAAUAUACCUUUUGUUUGUUAAUUUAUACUUGAAUAUCUUAAUUCAUCAAUCUCAUUGUAUGAAUUUAUCUUAACAUAAACUUUCUGUGAGAGCAAACCCCCUGACUUUUAACUUGUAGCCACAGGUCCUCCUAAGCUUCAACUCUACUCACGCAAGUCCCCUGUCAUAACACUUAAACUCCAGCUGAGGUAAUAGGAGUUAUGAUAAGCCGUGCAAUGAUAAUGGUAUGGCUGGAGAAAUGGAUGCAACCUUGAGUUUAUUUAACAUUGCAGUGGUAAAACACACAAAAUCUCUGGACUUGUUCAUCACGGCACAGAAAAUACAUGGCAGUUUCCUUUGUAGUGACAUUCGUGCUUCUGCCCUGCAAAGCCUCCAAAGAAGCAGAUGUAUCCCAGGCCCUGCUCAGACAAGGCGGUGGUCACCACCAUUUAAGAACUGCGCCAGCGAACGCCAAGGAAAGUUUCCGUGUUAGUAAUUUAUGAUGAAUUACACUCUGCAGUGGAGGCUAGAGACAAAACAACGUGAUUGAAUAGGAUAACUCAGCUUCACGUGCUAGAAACAAAAAGAGGGACUUGGAGGAUGGGCCAUUAGGGAAAGAAAGGGUUUGCCACACAAGCGGAUCGCAAUUUCAAUUCCCAGAACCCACUCAACAAGUAAGCAUGGAGACCCACUUGUACUCGCAGCACUGGGGAGGCAGACACAGGGAUUCCUGUGUAUACUCAGGCAACUAGACUUCUCUGUUCUGUUUCCUCUAUGCUAGAGAUCUGUGUGGAAAGACAAAGGAAAACAGCACAAACAACAAACAAAUGAACAAAAACAAACAGAAAAUAAAAUGAAAAAAAUGACUUAGGAACAGUACCUGGGUUUAAUCCCUGAGUUCAAUAUGCAUAUAUACACGUGUGUAUAUGCAUACAGAUAUGCUGCUGCUUUCACAAAGUAUUUUUAAUCCUACCUUAGGUACUUCUAACUACCUUAGGUACUAUUUAUGGACCUUAGGUACUAUUUAUGGACCAAUCUAUCUACCCAUCUAUUUAUUUAUAAUUUUCCAAUGUGGACAUGUUCUACAUCUGUCUGGUAUAAUUGAUUUUACAAGUUAAAAAUACAUAUGGUGUAAUUGAUUUUGCAUAUAUAUAUAACUAAAUAUAUAUAUAUACUGAAUAUAUAUAUAGUAUCUCUAUUACUAAAUUACUAGAAGGAGAAACAAUAGCAAGGACAACGACCCAUCACGACUGUGUUGCUUUAUGUAGAGAUAAAUGACAAAUUUAUUUCACAAAGUGGACAAUAUGGUGACAGAUGGCUUUGGGAAGCUUGAAAAUAAUUGGUGUAUGUUGAAACAGCUGAUAGUGCCCAUUACCCAUACUGUAUGGACAAUCAAUGAAUUCAUUCCAACUCUUGGUGCCAAAAUGCUGAACAUGACCAAUCCUCUAACUGUAUUGGAACCCCAGGUUUGUGAUCCACUCCUGCAGCAGACUUGAGUGUGGGAAAUAUGCCUAUCGACAGCACCUUAAAAAUUUACAAGUCACCUGCAUUUGUACUUCUUUUGAGGAAAGAUACCACUUCUGGGAUCAACACGGGACCCAAUGUUAAAAAAAAUCCAAUACCUUGCUUUUAUCAGCUUUUAAGUAAUAGCAAAUACUCUUGAUGUUGAAAAGAAGACCAGAGAAUAUCAAAUAUAUCUUAAUAUUUUGUAUUAAUUAGAGUCUACAGUAAACGUGUGAGCUUAUAAAAAAAAAGACAAGUAUAUGAAGGCUACGUUACGCUUACAAGCCAUUUGCUCUGGGGAGACGGGAUCAUAGGGCCUAGUUUGUCUGUAUAAAUUAAGAAAAGAUUCAUCUGAGUGCAGUUGAAUGUGAAGCUAUGAUGGUGAAUCUUUAGGCAGACUUCUGACCCUCGGGUGUGAACAGGGACUUCUGCUGACAAGGGGAAAGUGGCUAAGCAACACAGACCAGUGUGAACUGUUUGCUGGGCGAGUGCUGACAGCCUCAGGUGACAGGUGGUUUUGCUUUAUAAGUUCAAACAGCUCUCACAAGUCCUUGUUUUCCAACACCAGCACUUGUCAGGUUAGCUGUCAAGGAAAUCCAAAAUUAUUUGCAAAACUCCAACUCCAUAUUCUCUUGGUAAAGGCUGACACAGCCUCUAAAAAUGAAGAAAUUAGCACAAAAAGUGCCUCCUCCUACAAAGACGUAAUCAUAAAUACAGUAGCAUGGGUCUUUUAUUCGGUUGCUUUGGGGACAAGAUGACCAUAUAUUUUUUUUAAUUUACUUCCUAAAGACAUAGGUGUUUCCUGGUUUGCAAUUGUUUUUUUUUCCAUUUGAGAAGCCUGUAUUUCCACAUGUAUAUUAACAUGCUCCCUGAAGCACUACAUAGUAACUGUUUAAUCUACCAGAUUAACUCAGUGUCUGCAGUUUGGUGAAAAUGUAGAAGUUGUCUGUCCAAAGUGCCCUGUGCCCUGUUUGAGACAGCAAUCCUAUGAAUAAAAGCCAUAUGACUGGGACAGAAUUUUUAUUAAUUGUCUUAGCUACUGGAGUAAUUUGCCGAUGAUAGCCAAAACAAGCAUUUGAUACAUUUAAAAUAACAGCAUGAAGAAAUGAGAAACAUCAUGCGUCAUAAUGCUCGUUUUCCUUAAAGACAGCAUGUCUUAUCUCACUGAACUCUAAGAAUUACUAACCGCUUUCUUAAAAACAUAAGGGAAAGAAUUUCCAUGUUCCCAUAUGAAUUAUGCUGCCUACAUAGUCAUGGGCUUUACUUUUCGAAUGUUUUAAAGCAAGCUAUAGCUGAACUGUGGACAUAUGUGUUUACCCAAAGCCUCAUUUAAGGUUAGCAUGUGCACUUACUUUGGGGCAUGGAAUGCCAUUGAGGGAAACAUGUGAUUCUGACCAAUGGUGCACACUGACUAAGGGCUUAGAGGAUAAUGGGGAAACUUCCAGCAAAUGGAGGAUCCUUGACAACCUUUUCAGACAGACAGUUUGGUUACAUCAUGAAGUCACCAAUCUGACUAGUCAUAGUGUUGGCAUCAGGAUCGUUCUUCCAUUAAAACCUCUCCAUGUGGAACCGUGUUGGCCCGUUGUGUUUUCUCCAAAUGGAAGCCGAGAUUUCUACCCCAACACGUAGACCAUGAGAGAAACCCAAACUACAUGGCACUUAACGAAGGGGUAGUGCGGGCAGUCCUUAUGCAGCGCUGACUGAGGCUUCUGUUAUGUUAUUUUUUCCUCUUUUUGGAAGGGGCAGAUGAGAUUUUAAGGCCAGAAGAAAUGUAGAGGAUGACAUAUUCCCGAAAUCAGGGAAACAGAGAGAAGAAACCAGAAUGCCAUCACUUCAGUACUUAUACAGACAAACAUCAAAAUACAGACAACAUCACUGCAGUGAGCAGUGGCACACGCAUCUUCUCACACUCUAUAAAGCUCCCAGAUAGCCAAGAAAGGGUCAAUAAAUCUGGAACCACCAUAUAGCUCUGCUUUUCUAAAAUGUUUUGUCAUAACUAUGUUUUUCCGAAAUUUAAAUACUCAAAAUCGAAUCGGUUCCUAAAUCAUCAUAAAAAUGGUUUUGUGAAUGAAAAUCAGAUGAAUACUGAAAAAUUGACUCAAGAUGCUAAGACAGUCCUGCUUUCGCCUCUGGGUGAAUCACUCCUUUACAACUGAUAUCCCUGCCUCACUUAUGGGCCAGCGUUAUAUCAGCCUACAUCACCUAGGAGGCCUUAACUCAUCUGAAAGAAUGUAUAUUUUUUCUUAAUAUUUUCAAUGUCUUUAGCCGUUAACUCCACUGAAAGAAAAGGCUGGUUGUCACUACCAAAUUGCACGUAUCACUGACAGCCAAGAUGUACUUGCUCCAAAUUCAGAGAUGGAUGGACAAAAAGAUUCACCACAUGUUGAAAAUUAGUGGUUCUAAUAACUGCUAUCAAGGGAAUAAUACAUCAAUUGGACAGUGAUAUUCAGCAUAACAGUUUCUAGUUACAGACAUAUUUUUCCCACAUGUUGAUGUCUUGUAUCUAUCUUCCUUGCUUAGCUACUACAACCUAAGAAAAUUCUGAAUAGACACCUUGGCUUUUCUAAUCAAUGACUGACAUUAGAAAAGGGAGAACAGCCAAGCAUUACGUGCCCACACGUGCGGGUACAUACAUUUUACCACAGAAACUCCCCUUCUAGGAAAUAGACCAAGAAGGGUCUGGUAAUAAGACAUUUUGACAACACCAUGUAUAAUGAAAAAUUGCCAAGUUUUAAGUGUAAGAAUGAAUUACAACUCUCUGUCCCAAGCCUUCCUAUGUAUCCAAAACAUAUUGAAGGCAAAUGCAGGAACUCAAAUUUGGAAUAUGAGAAAGUGACUUAAAACUGCCAAGCGAUAUAAAAUCUUCUAAUGGCCUGCAACGAGUAACAUUGUCAAGUAACAUACCACUUGCUACCAGUGACCAAGCAGUGACACUUCCUGAGCUGGGUGGAGGAGUCACAGUUAUGCCACAAUCUGCAAAGCCAGUGUGAGUCCCUGAACUUCCUGUUGCUGCCUUGGAAAGACAACAGAGUCAUCCUUGCCCUCUGUCAGCCUUCUUUCUUAUUACAGCAAGUAGUCAGAAUGGACAGGAUAACUAGAUGGAAAGGGUGUGGAGUUUUGAGUCUUUGAAAGGAGACUUUUCAACCAGGUACACUCCCUUGGAGACCAUAAACUCAGCCUCAUAUUAUAACUAAGUUGCAAUGCUCAAAGGAUCAACUAUAAUGAUGCUUCAGAAGCUCACCUUCCUCCUCAUUGCUACAGAUCAUCAUUUACUAACCCUAAUGGUAAAUCUCCUUUACUCUUUUUCUAAACUCCGCAAAACUGUUACUUUGCAAAAUACAGCAGGUCAUUAACAUAGUCAACAAAUGAGCAUCGUGGAAAAGAACAAUUUAUUUCUUCAGUUUUAGUUCUUUAUCUGAAAAGGCUUAUCCUUCAUGUUUUACUUUCCGGACAAAGAAAAUGUGUCAUUGCUUUUAAAAAAUACCACAGAAAGACUUUAGGGGAAAAAAUGCAGCAUAGAAUUGAAGUUUCAUACAAUUCUGCAGCUUUACGUAGACAUAAGAACCUAAAGAUCCUACAAUUUCAACUACAUCAACAUCUAUACUUGUUGUGGGAGUACACGUCAAUAUAAUCCUGAUGAAAAUACUCCAAGACUUCCUACAGCAUUCCAGAUUGAAAUAGCAUCUACUGAAAUAGACUUGCCUGCCAGUCUGAUUUAGCAUCUCACUUCCCCUUAUCAGCAGAUGGUAAUACACCAUUUAAAUCCAUAUGCCUUCCAUAGGCAUAGUUCAAGUGCAGAAUAAAAAGAAGAACGAACGUUUGAAAGCUAAUCAGAUUAGCCUUUAAGUGAAGAAAGUAACAAAGUGGAAUUUCAUUUCCUGUAAAUGACUUUUACUACAUCAUGUUUAAAUGAAGGAAGGAAUUAUCAUCCCUGUAAACCACCCAGAUGAAAAUAACUCCAUAAGAUAAAUCUUAGCAAAAGGCUUUCUUGAACUGGUUAAUUUUUCAUAAAUCUAGACUCGACACAGAUCCCAAUAAUGAUAGGAAAUGAACAUAAUACCAGAGAAAGGCUAUAAAUGCAGCCACAGCACAGCAUGAGGGGUAAAAACCAUAACAAUUUGCCAAUUUUAUAUCCAUGUAUCUAACUCCUUUCCCCACACUGUUUUCGGAAUUCGGUCAGGGCGGAAAGAUGCAGCCAGUAGGGUUUCCAGUUCUGCAGAGAUAACCAGUUCCUUUAUGCAUCUCAUCUAGGCAAAGGCAUUAGGAUAACGGGCUGGUUUUUCAGUAUGGACACAUUCAGGAAAGCUUUUGAAAUCUUUCUAGCUUUGUCUUCCAUUCUCUACAAUAAGUCUUAGAUUCUAAUCAAUCUCUAAAGAUUAAGAUCAACAGUCGCAUGCAGAUCUGUACUUAACUUGAGACUAGCCUUCCUUAGAAGGGAAGGGACAGAAGAAUCAUGAAUCUUCCUACACAUUUUAGGUUCAACAGACAUAAGCAUAUCUUGGAUAAAUGAAUAAUAUAGCUAUGUUACAGAUUGAUUAAAUUCAAGAAAGGUGAAAUCUAGAUUAAGUGUGUAAGUACAUAUGCGUGUGUGUGUACGUGCAUGCAUGUGUUGGUGUGUGUGUGUGUGUGUGUGUGUGUGUGUGUGUGUGUGUGUGUGUGUGUGUGUGUACAUGCAUGUUCCUCUGGUAUCUUUGUCAAUCACUCUCCACCUUAUUUCUUGAGAAAGACUCUCUCAGAAUCUUGGGUUCACCUUUCAAUUUGGCAACAGUUGACUGGAGAGUGAUCCAUAGAGGAUUCUCAUCUCUACUUGGAAAUGCAAGACCCAUGGGCUUUUCACAUGGGUGACAGGGACUCGGAGUCAGGCCCUCACACCUGUGCUAUGUCCAGUUUACCAGUAAAGUCAUCUCCCUAGCUCCUGAGCUUCCUUUAUAUAAUACAAAUUAUCUAGUAUGAAGGGAAUGAAAUUUCAACCAUUAUUCUUCAGAAAGACAAAUCUUUUUAGAAGUCAUUGUAUCUUUUUAAAGCCUAAACAUUGCUUCUUUGCAUUCCAAUGUCAAAUUCUGUGAGCACUAAGAGUUCUGCUUCACCAGAUAAAGAAAAGAUUUCAACUUAAAAGUGUUCUGUUAAAACCCAAAUGAUAUAUACUUUUAUGCAAUCUCAGGAUUGCUACAAUAAUAUUUUUAUUUUUAUUCCUUAGUAACAUAUUAAAAUACUAUAUUAUUGAAAAGAAUCCACAUAAGUAAUUUAUUAAUCAUUCAGUCUUAAGAAAAAUUGAAAUAUAAAUCAACUUACAAUUAUAAACAAAAAGAAAAUUACACAGGCAUUAUGGUCAGCUUUGCACAGUAAGUAAAGUGUGAUCCAAUGUAGUGGCUUAAUGGACAAGGAAACUUACUUUCAAUGCAGUUCACCAGAGUUUGAUCCUGGACCUAAAUAGUAUGCUGAAGUUUCUUUCACCCUUCUUACAAGCACCAUGGACUGACUGACUUACACACACACACACACACACACACACACACACACACACACACACACAAAUAAAAUGUAAAUAAAAUGUAAAACUGCCUUUCUACAUUUUGAAAUAUGCAUAUGGACUUCUCGAUUUUAUCCAAUUAAAAAUUGGUUGAUUCUAAACUUAAGGAAGAAGCAAGGAAAAGAGAGCUAGCGUGAGGCACUAAUAAGAACAUGGUACAGCGCAUCAGCUCUGAAGAACUCACAGCUCUGACAGGAAAAAAAAUUAAAAAUAUCUGCACUGUAAGAGCAAGCACUUGCAGUUUUCACAACUGUGCUCCACUAGAUCUCAAACUUGUCAAAUAAAAAGCCCCUAGCUUUCAGAAGGACACACACACACACACACACACACACACACACACACACACACACACCCUGGCACGCAUGCAUGCACCCAUCCACACACAUACACAUAUUCACAUACAUAUACACACAAGCAUAUAUACAUACACACACAUAUUUGCCUAAAGAGGCUUUAUUUCAUGUCCAAAAAAGAAAAAAAGAAAGAAACACCUGCAUUAAAUGCAACAUAAAAUUGGUAAAGACCAGACAGUUCAAGGAGCUCUUUUUACUCCACUGCAUAAUUAAAACCUCCGUGUUGUUAGAUAAAACUAGAAAAGCCAGAAAUUUUGAGUGUGACUCAAAAUAUCAUGUGGUAAUAUCCAACCCUUGAAAGGUAGAAUGUGUUUGAAUUGGUCAUGGGGUCUAUGCUGUUGAGCCCAAAUAUAAACCUUGAGUCCAAGUCAACCAUUCCAUAUAUACGAAGACUUUUGCCUCCCUACAGCUUGGCUAGAUAUUAUGAAGCAAAAAUAUGUUGACUAUUUCAGUGUGUGGGGUUCAUAGUCCUGCAUAUUUUGAAAGAGCCACUUAAAAGCAGUCGAGAUAUAAAACUUAAAAGACCUACUGUAAAUCAUGGAAAAUUGUCUACACCCAAGGCAGCUCAUUUAGCUUUAAAAUAAUUAGAAUAUAUCUUCAGAGAAUUUUUUUUAAAGAAAUACCAUAAAUUCUGUGAUCCUCACACAAUGGAGUGUGCUUGACUCUUUUAAAGGCAUUAAUUUGUAUUUAUUACAACAAAACUAAGGAAAAACCUUGACUUUUUGUUAACAUUAAAUGGGUAAAUAGUCUAAUAAAAAGGCAUAAUGAGCGCAAUGUCUCAGAUCCCUCCUGUUUACAAGAGCUGAAAGCCUUAAAGCUUGGAAGAUUUUAAUCAAGACUUCCAUUAACCACCCCGUGAAUAUCCAAGGGACGGCUGGAAUUUAAACAAAGAAGGAAGUAGAAUGCUUUUAAAAUGACUUAAUGUAAUUCAGUAUUAUGAUAUGUAACAGUUUUAGCCAUUAAACAACAGGUGACACGUCAGAGCCAAGCAUUUGUCUUUCUUCUCAGUGACAAUACAUCAAGUAAGACAUACAAUAGGUCAGAUCUAAAAGAAAUCAUCAGUAAAUAAGAACAACAAUCUAGGAAAAUAAUUAUGACAGUUCUUGUAUACAAUGCAUCAAUCCCCUAGGCAAAGUACAUAUGGUAGACAUUUUAAAUGACUAUACGAGAGAUUGUGUGUAUUUUUCUUUUACAUUUAUUUACACAAUUAAAUGUGUUGUUUUUGUUUAUUUUAUACUUUAAUAUCCCCUUCUUCUCUAAAGAUCCUUACUUAACCAUUCUUUUAGGCUAGCAUUACCAUGACACAUGAGCAUACAUGUUCUUGGGGUGUUUCUGAACUCUAUUAGUUAGAAAGAAACUUAGACAUACACAGAGGAGCUUAAACUCAAAACUGUCAAAACAGCAUCCUUCCCUAAAAGUGGGGAUCAAAUUAUGUUUAGCUGGAGCCACAAAACUAAGUUUGUAUUUAAUUUCUGCUUAGAUUUGUUUUCUUUGAUUGUUCUCCACAUUUCUCAAAGACUACUUUUCAACACCCAAGAGAUAAACAGCCAAUCCACAGACUCUUCAUUUAAGGAGUGCAUUAAGUAGACAUUAUUAAAAGUAAUCCUGAAAUAAUACAGUCAUAUACAUACAAGUCACCCUAAAUUGACUGUGCAAACUGUAUUUAUAUAUUUUAGUGUGCACACAUGCCCACAACACACGCACGCACACACACAUACACACACACACACGCACACACAGAGCACACCCACGCACAAACGAAAACACAAGCACAUGUAACAUUAGCAAAUAAAGAAAAAAAGGCAGUGAUUUCAUGAGGCAAAAGGGAGUCGGGUACAUAGAAAAGAUUGCAGGGAGAAAAGGAAAGGACAGAAAUUCUAUAAUUAUAUUUUGAUUAAGAAAAAAAUUUAAAGGUUCUCUAAACCAUACUUAGAUUUAUCCAGGAGAACUGACAUCUGUCUUUUGAGCUGAUCUACUGAACCAGUCUGGUGAACAUUCUCUCUCUUCUUAAUCUACAAACAAGUCAAAGCCCUCCUAUCUACAACUUGUCCAUGUUGAUAGUGUUUCUAGGAUAUUUUGUACAAACUAGGCUUGCAAGUACUCAACACAAGUGAAAGUCAAUUCAUUUGAACUCCUUUCAGCCCAUCUGUUCUCUAAAAGAGGUGGCAUUCUCAAAUAUCCCUUAGCUAGCUUUCAAUUAUAAUUGCGAGAUAGUCACCUGAGAGAGACUUUGCUGCUGCUACAUAAAUGUAUUGUUUUCCAAGUUUUUACAGUUAUGAGUUUUCUCCCUAUAAUAACAUAUAAAGAAAAUGUUAGGGUUUCUACUCCUGAACUACCACUGUGGGACAAUUUUAACUAAGGAAAGUCCAGAAAUGAUGAAGUUUUCCUAUUUCCCAGGAAUACAUAUGCAUAGCUUGGUAAAGCGACCUAUACCAGCCAAUAAAGGCCUCUACUGUGUCAUCCCACAAACUAGCUUAAUUAUAGGGACACCAAAUCAAACUGUUUGAAAUCGAAGGAAAGAUGCAAUUAUUGAUCUGCAAAGAUAUCUGGUGCUGCAGCACUUAGAAUAAUAAAAACUGCAAAUGUCCAACUAUAAGGAACAGAUCAUUUUCUCUAGAAUAUAUGCUGACUUUCCAAAAGGUAUGUAUUUUAUUGUAAAAUAAAAUCAGAUGGUAUUUUAAUAAUGAACAUAAAAUUCCACAUUGGUGAUUUUUAUGUCUUUGUGAGUGUAUACAUAUGUGUACCGACCAAAAGGUAUAUUGAAUAUGUUGAAUAUCUGUUCUUUCAUUCUUCCAUACCUAAGCUGCACGAUAUCUAUAAUGAAUACAUAUUUUUAUUGGAAGAGAAAAUGUUAAAUGCUAAUUUAAUCUGCUUUGUUCUGUUCUUAGUUUUCCCUGGACUUUUUCAUCUCUCUCCCUGCCCUCAAGCUAGAGGCUACCAAGGAUGCUCAAAAACCACAGGGGCUAAUUAGAAAUACAGCCCCUUUCGUUCUGACCACCCAGACUUCAAAUAGGUCACCUCUGAAUAAUGAGAUAUUAACUCUGAAAGAACAUAAAGAACUGAGAUAGGUUUACAGUUUUAAGAUUUCAGUGGGAUGAAACUGAAUUAUUCACACCCAUUAAACAGAGUUUGAAUGAUUCACAGCCAAUUUUAUUUUUAUAUUUGUAACGAAACAGCUGGAAUUAGAGUCUAUUCAUGGACUCCUAAGAAAUUUGCACCCCACCUACUAAAAUUAGUUUCCUCAUCCAAAAUUCUGAUCAGCACAUCUGAGAAAGAGGAAAACAGACGUUGGUGCUCAAUACCAGCAAACUAAACACUUUUUCCUAUCAUUUUGCCACCAGGGUGACUUUACUUCGCAUUGUAUAUAUUUCUCUUUUCCCCCAAUCAUAGAGCAGCCUCUAAUUACCUGACCUUUUUGCAACAUGAUUAUUCAUAAAGAAGCAUUCUCUUGUUUCAUAUACUAAGCUUAAACAAUGUAUUUUUAAUGCUUCUGAUUAUGUGUGACAGUUGUUUACGUCUCACUAGUUUUCAGCUACUAGAAGAAAACCAUAUUUCCAUUUGUACUUCAGAUACAAUUUUUUUCUCUUCAAAUUUAUUAAGCUUGAAAUAUAAGGUUUGUGUCUUAUAGCCACGUCCACCCAUUGAGUCAUUCACUCAUCCGAAUGUUUAAGAUCCAACAGGAAAUUGACAUGGGCCAAGUAUUUGCCACUUAAAUGAAACUGAACAGAUUGCAGAUCCACUAUCUAGAAUUUUCCAAAGCCUGGGAAAAGGGGGUACCUAAGGGUUGGUUGAAUCCUCCAGGGUCACAUAACUACUUAUUCACAAAUUAUGUUUAUAACACAAAAUCUGCUCUCCCGCACUACAAUACAUUUCCCACUGUAAUACCAGGAGGAACAAGAAAGAAAGCAUGAGAUGAGAAUUAGAAUCAUGAAUUAGUAUUCACCUGUAAAUAAAACCCAGCGGUGUGAUGUGCACACUUCCAAGCCCCAAAUGCAGGGAUUUAGAGGGCUAUUUAAUGGAAGGACGAGAUACCUCAAAAGUUUUCAGAAAUAUUCAACUUCUCUGUGACAUUGAGGCAAACUCUUACACAGACCAACUGCAAUCACACACCAUAGCAUAAAGGUAGUGGAGACAGAGAACUAAAGAGACAUUGAUAUAUCAUAGAAAUCAUCUAAUACAGUCCACAUUUUAUUCAUUCUAGCUAUGUCAUUGAAACAAAAUAUAUGGAAUUUCCCUUAUUACUAAGAAUACAUGCUGUUGUAAAUUUGGAAAAGAAACUAGGCAAGAAUAACUUGUGGAUAUUCUAAAAUAUCAUCAACACUGCCUUUAAUUGCACUGUGUUUUGCAAGGCAUAUUAAAAGUUUACAAAUAAAUUCAAAGGCUAUUUUUUUCUGUAUAAAGGGCUUUUCCUAUGAAAGACAAAUAAUUAAUCUAAGGAAUGUAAGCACCUUUAAAUCUUGAUGUUCAAACUAGAAGACUGGUUUAGCAUACCUUGCUCAAACAUAUGCAAUUGGUAGGAAGCAUAUCUUUGUGAACAUGGAAUUAAGACUGAGCCUCUGUAAUUCUUUUCAAGCACAUAACAAGUGCAAAUGCAAUGUUAGCUUAGAAAAGUUCUUUUCUCUUUCCAAUACUUCAUGAAGACAUAAUAGACAUCGAAUCUGGUAUUCCAAUACUCUCAUGGAGGAAAUAAUUUGUGAUGGAAUAGUAGUAUGUACCCAAUAUAAGACAAUAAAGAUAAACAUCUUUCAAAGAUUGAAGCUAGACUUCUCUUCUCCUGUGCCUUCAAAGCCCACACAAUUGUCUAUAAAGACAUUGAACCUGUACCUAAGAAAAACAAGAUUCACCAAAAUUGAGAGAAAGUAGCCAGAAUAUGACUUCAAAAAUUAUAUAUAUAUAUAUAUAUAUAUAUAUAUAUAUAUAUAUAUAUGAGAGAGACAGAGACAGAGACAGAGACAGAGAAAAGAUCUUCCCCAAAAGAGAAGAUGAUCUACGGGGACUGUUUUCACCUGAAUGGCACAUAAAAUUUUGACCAAGAUUGAAACUAAACUUACCUAAUAACUACUAAACUAUAAACUAUACUGAAGAUACAAUACAAGGUAAUAUAGCCCAAGGUAAUAUGGUCUAUGUUAACAUAGACCAUAAAAAGUUGAUAUCCAAGAUUAUUACUUGUUCUCUCUAUUUUUUUUAAUCAUCCUUAAUACUCCAUUUAUAAGUCAGCAGCCAAUCACUAACAAUUUACUGCAUAUUAUUCUUCACGGUUAUUAUGACUGGAAUAUCUCUAUGAAAGGGGAUCAUUUAAAAAAAACAGUGAGCAAAACAUUAUUAUUAGCUAUUAGACAUAUUUUCUCAUAUAAACUAUGCACCAUUUUAAAAACUAUAUCAAAGAACAAUUAGUACAGGGCAAAUGUGAAUGUGUAUUCUUUAUGAUUGUUUUGUUUAUGUGAUUGGUUAGUUAGUGACUGAGACAGAGCCUCACCACUCUGUAGCCUAGGCUAGCCUGGAACCUACUAUCUCCAUCAAGCUACCCUAGAGCUUUAAAGGGUUCUUUAGAAGUAAAAUUGGAAAUAGUCUAAAUGUUCAUUGGUUAACACAUUAAACAUAUUAUGUAGGUAACUAUAAUAAUAAGGCCUUAAAGCAAAUAUUGUGACACGCCUUUAUGAGCAAGUAAAAACUUCCACAUCAUACUGCUAAAUUUAAAAACAAAUUGUGGAAUGACAAGCUGCAAAUAAAUAAACUAAAUAUGUGAGUGUUCCUAAAAUAUAUAUCCGAUACCAUGUGAACCAAAAAUUACCUGUCCCCACGGUUCUCAUUUUUAUUUAUUUAUUUAUUUAUUUAUUUAUUUAUUUAUUUAUUUAGGUAAUAGACGUGUCACUUGCAAAACUUCAGAACUCUGCUCUUUCGAUAUUAUACAUACACACGUGAGAUGCUGGGUGUACAGAAGAGCAAACUGACUCUGAAAGUGUGUGUAGUCCCCCAAGCACUGAUUAGCAAUCAAAGUUAAGCAGGGGAGGCUAUCAUCUGACAGGCAGGGUAGCCUGUCAUCUCUGCCUUGACAUGCAGUCUGACGUCUGGCAAGCUAUGUGAUAUCGCUGCCUCCAUUUCCUCAUCCAAAUAAAAGGAGCAGAAAUAGUUUGAACUUCAAAGAUUUUGGAUUAAUUAAUAUGAUGGCAUUAAUGUCUUAAUAAAUUAGCUGAAAGGUAAUAGAAAUUGAAAUGACUGCCUAUGUUUUAUCAGUUCCUUCAUUUUAAUGCCUUCCUGGGCAUUAUUUUUUUUUUCUCCUGAAGUAGUUUUGCAGGUUUUGUCUUCUUCAGUGAGAAUUCCAAUUAGACAGCUACAGAGCUGCUCUCAUGAUAUAUUUGAUUAUAAGCUAAGUUCAUGAAGUUAAUUCUCUGAGAAAAGAUUAUUUUACAGGUCAUUUAUCUACCAAGACCUUUCUUUAAAAGCAUGGUUAAGACUAAGUCUUGCAAAAACUUAAAUGAAAUGUAACAUUACAGAAGAAUGUGAUUCAUAUUGUCACGUAUCUUGUGAUGUCUCCACAUAAAUUACUGAUUGUACCAAAAAGCUAGGAUAAAAACACAUCACUGGCAUCCUGCACCCAACAAGUCUUGAGAAAUAGUCAGUAUCCAUGACUUUUUAAAUGUAGGAAAAUUAAAUAUAUUUUAUUUUAAAAACAUGUUUACUAAUCUCUGGUUAACCUUGAUGUUUCAAGUAAGUAAAUUUCCAUAUUUACCCUUUCCUAGUUAAUACACCUAAGUUAAAUUUUUUAAAAAAAGUAAAAGACUGCUACUUUAAAGAGAAAAGACGACGUGGCAAAUUACAUUUGAGAGGCAUCUUCUAGUCUAACGUGAACAAGAAUGUCAAACAUUAAUUUAGUUUAUUUGUUCGAUAAUUAUAAAAACAGAAUUAAGAUGCCUUUUUGUCACUUCUAAGCAGUGGCAACACAGAGAGAAUAUACUAUAAGAUAAAGUGUCGUAGAAUUUUUCUGCAAAGUUACUGCUAGAAGUCACCAUCUAUAAAUGACAUUGCUUCUCCCAAAGGAAGGAAGAAGGUGAUUAAAAAUUCACUGGCCCAUACCUCAUCCUAAUAGCACAUCCCAGUGUAGGAACCCCAGCUUACCAAGGUUCCCUGAGUAACCCAUAGGCCAAUCACAUAACCAUCUCUGCUUAACAAUCUCUAAAAGCUCAUUUAACCCAAGCCUAUAAAGACAGAAAAUUCUGAAGAGGAAAAUGUUUACUCUUUUGGAGGAAACAGUAACAAAAUCCAAACUGAUCACAUAUUAUUUAAGUAUGGUAUUUUCAUGUAAAAUCUACCCCAUUAUAUUAGUUACUGGGGUUUUUUUUUUAAAGGCUAGAGGAACUGGAUUCACAUCAGGAUAUGGCUGAUGGCUGACACACUUCCGAAUCACUGUGCACUCUCUAUGCCUAAAAUGUGGGUCACCUGUAUAUUCUCCCCCCUCCCACACCUAACAAACUCAACAAUGGUUCCCUUUGGGGUUCCUGGUGUCUACUGCCUCAGAUUGUCAGGGCCAGGGCGGUGGGAGUGUGGAGAAGCCAAGCAAAAGGUGAUCAUACAGGAAAUGGCAAACGGACACCGAAGUAAAUGACACCACUCCAUAUUGACUACGGAUCUACACAGUGCAAAAAGAUACAUCUGCUUCCGGUGCCUAGGCAUCUACACCAGACUUUCUAAAUAGUCUAGUUUACAGCAAGGUCUGCUUUAGGAGUGAUAGCAUACUUUUUAGAAAACAUAUUUGAGCCACUGGAGCUAAAUUACAAAAUAAAAUUAGGUUACUAGAAUUCUCGAUAGCAAAACUAAUAAAACCAACCUUGUUUAUGUAUAAUUUCAUUCUUUUCUAUCAUCAGAAAAUUAUAUUUUGCUGUAAAAUAUUAAUGACUAGUAAGAAGGGAAAAAGCUACCUAAACUUUAGCUUAGUAAAUAUGAUUAAAAUAGCAAUGCCCACUAUUACUUACACUAAAUUCAAUUCUUAGGCUUUUAUUUUUAAAAGUACCAAACUGUAUUUAAGUUUAGAUUAUUAAUUUUCCUAACAGUUGCCCUCCCUUUCUCUCCCCGCAAAAAAUGCAUCAGCACAGAGUACAAGAAGAUAAUUAUACAAGAAUCAUACGGUAUCUGGAUAGAUUAAGGAGUAAGGGUUAUGUUUUAUAUUUUUAAUGGGCAAGUAACCUAUCAAUGUGCUUCUGAUGGGAGUCUCACCCACUUGCGUUAGACUCUGCAAGUGUAAAAGGUUCAAAGACGCUGAGGGAAAUGGUUAUUUCCACAGACAUGAAGUCAAUAUUUCCUGUACGAUGACUUAGAUUCUGGUUUGGUUUUCAUUAAAUAUGAAGCAAGGCAAUAAAUAUCUCUUUUCACUUGAGAUCAUCUUGACUUUCAAGGUUCCCAAGGCCUUGUGUCAGUUGUUGUUAAGGUAUUCAUCAUGGGGGCUUGUUUGCAGGGCUGCCGCCAAAAGAACUUUUUUGCAUCUGAAAGGACUCCAGUAUCAGCAGCCUUUAGGCUAUAAAUUUAACACUUGCUACAGAAAAAAGAGAAAUAAGGUCUGCUUUGUACUGCUCGGGGAUCACAUUUACAAGAUGAGCAAAUAAUGCGGCUACUUCUGCUUAUCUGGAGCUCUGAAUCUGAGGACUUCGAAUGAGCUGACAAACAUUAAUUAACUAAGCCACACUGCUGUAAGGAAGGCAGUAAGCAGAUCCUGGGUCAGAGAUAGGUGUUUGGAGUUCCUGCAGGCUCGCCCUGGACGGGUAGUGGCCUGCCACGGAACUCAACUCCCAGAGGCCCACAUCUGAAAGUCUCCACUAAUGCCAAAGCGGUGCAGGGUGUAGAUGUUAAAAUCAGCAAACCUUGAUAAGGAUGUUGAAGCAACAAACCCAAAUCAGCGCCGCCAUGGCUCAGUUUCCCCUUGUGGGCUGAAGGAAGUUCCUCAUAACUAGAGAGCUCCAACCUAAGGAAGAACUGUGUCUGUGCAUGCAUCUAGACACUGUCUCCACAAACGAUUGACUGGAGCCUGGCUGGUGAGUUGCCCUCCUUCCUCCUGAAGACUCAUUCAUCAUAAUUUCCUGUGCUUGGGCAUUUGCUUCAAUGAAAACUCGAUUUGUUACUGGGAAAAUCAUUGUGAUAUUUUAGGUCCAAUUGUUUUCUCCCUAUUUGCGUGCUUCUCUGUUGAACGAUUUCUAUGUCACAAAAGUAACUUCUAUUGUAUGAAUAAAAUCCAGAAUGAUAAAACUGGAAUUAAGAAAAGGUCGAUAUUCGGUCCCCAACUCCAAAAAAAAAAAAAAAGAAAAGAAAAGAAAACAGAAAAAAAAGAAAAGGUCGAUACAACUAUAUUGGUUAUUUGUUUCCCUUAAAAGUAAAUACAUACAUACAUACAUACAUACAUACAUACAUACAUACAUAACACUGGUCAGAUAAAAGGGUGCACAUCUGUACAUAGGCCAAUCAAGAUCAUAACUCACCAUUUAAAUACAGAGGGAAAGGGUAUUUUAAAACAUGUAACUAACUGAAUAUCCCACUUCAGCAUAGGUAAUGUUGAAUAUUUAUAAGUUCUUCACAGGGCCAAAUUGAAAUGUAAAACAUAACUUUUCUAUUUAUUAAACUUGGGUGACUGCUACAGGGAUAAAAUCUUUUUAAAAGCAAAUUGUGCUUUUAACUGUGGACAAUUGUAAUAUAUUUUAUCCAAAAUAUAACAAAAGUUUUACUGAACAAAAAAAAACAUUACUAUUUCCUUAAAGUCACCAAAUACUCAAAGACUUUAUAGUCAUAUUGAUUUCAAUAAAAAGUCUGGCUUUUUAAGAGCAAUUUACAAGGGAAAACUUAAGCAGGUGUGUCCUAUGUCACCAUCUGAGCUCCGUGAUCCACACAGGUGGUAUAAACAAUUUAGAGCUCUUUACCUGUUUACUAUUCAUGCAGCGCAAAAGCAAAGGGCAGUCACCAAAGGAGAACACACACAAGCAAACGUCCUGAUGCCCCAAACAAAGGGUGAGGACUGCUCUAGACCUAGACUCAACAAAAGGGAAAAAUCAAAACAAGCAAACACACAAAGAAACAGGCAAAGGGACCUGAGGCCGAAGAGGGGCAGAUUAUGACAGGGAAGCUCUUCUGGGUGCUUCCUGCUCUACUUGUAGGAAGGGAGCAAACCCUUCCAGCAGCCUGAGUAGAAACACAGUAAUUAUUUAAAAUAAAAUGAAUGUCCUCAGAGAAUGAGUAUCCUGAAUCAACACUAUAGUCACACGCCUAGUCAUUGAAAGUGCUUCCACUUCCUAUCAGUCCUGAACUGAGAAGCCAACACAUUCUAAGUCCUAAAAUCUAGGACAACUUUACUGCAUUUGACUUUUUUCUAUCACUCUGUACAUCUUGCCAGAUGAUUUAAAGUUGUUUUUUUCUCUCGGCAACACAAUUUCUAUAAAAGCAUUUACUAGCUUACCAUCCUGCAUGCUGCUCCCUGUACUGCUCAAACCAAUGAAAAAACGACUUCCAUGUCCUAAGUGAGUUACUAUGGUUACUCUAAGUAAACACAUGCCGGUGAGCAGCUUAUUUCGCACCCCACUCUGCUUUGGAAACUUGAAAGUUAAUGCUCCUCCCUUCACAUAGGUAGAACAUGGGACCUCACUCCAGCCAUCUAUACUUUUAUUGUGCACUUAUAAACAUGAUACUAGUCUGGGGUUUUACAACUACUCAGUAGAACUGCAUUAACUUUGCCUUCAGUAAACAUGGUUCUGAUGCUUUGCAGGGCACUUUCUGCCACAAUGAACAGACAGUAUAUUUCCUAUGAAAAUAAAGCAUUUCCUAUUCCGUCACCAGGAGUAGAAAUCUCCUCAGUCUCUCAUCCAAACAUUUCUCUGCUUGUUAAUGUGACGGAGUUUCUUUCGAAGCUCCUUAAGAUACUACGGAUUUAAAAAGCUGAAUUUCAGUUAAGAAAUCUAACCAAAUAUUGCACCAUGAACCAAACUAGCCCCUCCUUUCUAUUUCAAAUAUCCAAUAGAGUUAGAGAUUCCUAAAAGAAUCGUUAUAGCACAAAGUAUAAAUCUUGAAGAGUCAAGUUUUAUUCAAGUCGCAGACGAAUGAGUCUGGUUUUUGGAAGGUGUGUGUGUGCCUGCACUCUGAGAUGAAGUAGACAGCAGCCUUUAAACCUCAGAAAUCACAAGGAAAGGGACUGAGACGCUCACUGACGACUUCGUUGUGCCGAGGAUAUCCUACGUAAUGUAGAGGAAGUGAAAGGACAGUUGAAAUGGUGCAAUAGAAACUUGCAGUCAGGGAAUUGAGGGAGUAAAGGAACUGAAAAGAACCGAUUGUUUUUAGAAGGUUUUAUCCUCCUCAGCCUGAUCACCACCCUGGCAGGGUUUUCAGUCGGCUGCUUAUUCAACUACUUAUCAUCCCAAAUUCUUGGAAGGAGGCAGGAAAAGUUGACACACUGGAAAUAGUUUAAAAUAAUAAUAAUAAUAAUUUAGAACAACUCAUAGCCAUGCAGAAAUGUCAGUUAUGUGGAAAAGGGAGACCGGAAGAGACUCUAGUGAUCUGAAGGACACCACCCAAGUGUUAAGUGUCAGUGGACACUAAUAACACAUAUAAUACCACUCUCCUGUCAAACAGAAAUCAUAAAAGUUCUCUGUGACAAAAAAAAUCAUGGAGUACUUGAAAAAUUCUCUUUCCCAACAUACAGACAGGUGCGUCUAGCUACGAUUCUACAAUGGAAGUGGUCUUAAAGGAGCGAGCUCCCUGAGGAUACACACUGUUUUCUUUCCAAAGCUACUUGGAGAACAUUUGCUCCUGCCAGAUGACAGGAAAAUGGCUUUGUUUCUUGAUGGUACAAGGUACCCCCAUUUCUAUAUUCAAGGCUUAAAUCUAGGGCUUAACAUCAGGCAGGGAAAGUAACGACUUUCAUAAUUAACUGUGUUACCUCCAAGGGAUGUUCUUUAAGUCUACUUACUCCACGGACACCUGAGACACACAGAGAGGCUUCAGAGAGUCCGAAGGAAGUGAGAACAGAGCAGCUAAGCUAUGCACAGCAAAGAGCUUCUUCUCUGACCUAAGGUCUCUGACCUAUGGGUCAAAGCCCUGGGCAGACUGAACUCCAUUUCCUAACCAGGUGUUUUUGUAAAGUGAACUAGUUUCUGAUCCUGCCUUCUGUGCAGGGACAUAGUUUCCAAACCACCCAGAAAUUACUAAACGUUCUCAGCACUGAGGAAAAAGACUGAACGGUACUCUCUGCCUUGAGCAAAACACAUAAACAGCAUAUGGAAGAUCAUGCAGUUUCAAGAGAUAAUUUCUGAGAGCAUUGAGUCUACGUGGCAGGAACACACUAAUGAAGCUUCCCUUAGUUGUAGUAGAUUCUCUUUCAUGCCCGCUGAUCCCUGUUUCCAUGCCUAAAAGGCCCCGAGAGUGUGAACUAGAAGGAGCUCUUCUCUGGGCAGUGUGUGCAUUUUUAGAUUUUUUUUUUUUUACUUUUUUUUUUCCGGGGCUGGGGACCGAACCCAGGACCUUGCGCUUCCUAGGUAAGCGCUCUACCACUGAGCCAAAUCCCCAACCCCCGCAUUUUUAGAUUUUAUUCAUCGUUUUCAUCCUUUCUGACAACUGAACUAUAGGCAUUGGUGUGAGUGAGUUUGUGUGUGUGUGUGUGUGUGUGUGUGUGUGUGUGUGUGUGUGUGUGCUUGUGUGUGAAGAGUUAAGAAA
This is a non-coding RNA of Rattus norvegicus (Norway rat), 37864 nucleotides long. Lineage: Eukaryota; Metazoa; Chordata; Mammalia; Rodentia; Muridae. The record is from RefSeq and is a predicted model, not a curated record.